RNAcentral lists this ribosomal RNA (440 nucleotides) under uncultured bacterium. RNAcentral's name for it is "partial 16S ribosomal RNA". It matches the Rfam family "Bacterial small subunit ribosomal RNA", at positions 338 to 795 of the family's 1533-position model. The record is from RNAcentral.
CCUACGGGAGACAGCAGUGGGGAAUAUUGCACAAUGGGGGAAACCCUGAUGCAGCGACGCCGCGUGAGUGAAGAAGUAUUUCUGUAUGUAAAGCUCUAUCAGCAGGGAAGAAAAUGACGGUACCUGACUAAGAAGCCCCGGCUAACUACGUGCCAGCAGCCGCGGUAAUACGUAGGGGGCAAGCGUUAUCCGGAUUUACUGGGUGUAACGGGAGCGUAGACGGCAGAGCAAGUCUGAAGUGAAAGCCCGCGGCCCAACUGCGGGACUGCUUUGGAAACUGCCCGGCUAGAGUGCGGGAGAGGUAAGCGGAAUUCCUAGUGUAGCGGUGAAAUGCGUAGAUAUUAGGAGGAACACCAGUGGCGAAGGCGGCUUACUGGACAGUAACUGACGUUGAGGCUCGAAAGCGUGGGGAGCAAACAGGAUUAGAUACCCGAGUAGUC